UCAGGACGAACGCUGGCGGCGUGCUUCAUACAUGCAAGUCGAACGAGAAUCUGGUGCUUGCACCAGAGGAAAGUGGCGGACGGGUGAGUAAUAUGUAGAGAAUCUGCCCUUUAGCGGGGGACAACAGUUGGAAACGACUGCUAAUACCCCAUAUGAGCGUAACUGAAAUGUUAUUCUUGAAAACUCCGGUGCUAAAGGAUGAGUCUGCAUCUGAUUAGCUAGUUGGCGGUGUAAUGGACCACCAAGGCGACGAUCAGUAGCUGGUUUGAGAGGAUGAUCAGCCACAAUGGGACUGAGACACGGCCCAUACUCCUACGGGAGGCAGCAGUAGGGAAUUUUGCGCAAUGGGCGAAAGCCUGAACCGCAGCAACGCCGCGUGACCGAAGAAGCCCUUCGGGGUGUAAAGGUCUGUCAGUGGGGACGAAACUUGACGGUACCCACAGAGGAAGCAUCGGCUAACUCCGUGCCAGCAGCUGC
This 477-nucleotide ribosomal RNA is filed under the name uncultured bacterium. RNAcentral's name for it is "bacterial SSU rRNA". It matches the Rfam family "Bacterial small subunit ribosomal RNA", at positions 24 to 518 of the family's 1533-position model. The record is from RNAcentral.